GAGAUCAUCAAGGAAGCCAAGAGGAAAUUUGCAAAGAACCAAAAAGAUUUCAGGAGAGCCAAGCAAAGAAUCAGAGAAGAUAUUAAGGCCCUGAAAGAGCAACAGGAAAAAAUUGAGAAAGAGCUUGACCGGCUCCAGGCAAAGGCUUCCAAAAGCAUCCAAGAAGUCAAAACAGA
Molecule: long non-coding RNA, 176 nt
Organism: Chionomys nivalis (European snow vole)
Lineage: Eukaryota; Metazoa; Chordata; Mammalia; Rodentia; Cricetidae
Exons: 3
Source: RefSeq, a predicted model, not a curated record